Vicia villosa (hairy vetch) is the source of this 1910-nucleotide long non-coding RNA. RefSeq lists it as uncharacterized. The record is from RefSeq and is a predicted model, not a curated record. Lineage: Eukaryota; Viridiplantae; Streptophyta; Magnoliopsida; Fabales; Fabaceae. The transcript is spliced from 4 exons.
UCUCUGCAAUCCAUUCUUUAUUAUUAUUCUUUUCAUUAUCAGUUGCAUUUGAACUAAAGACUGCACAAAGGUGUCCACGGGCAGAACAGUUCUUCAUCGAUGGUCUUCCCAAUGACCAUACUGUUUGCAGGUUGUACACUUUCUGUCCUAUUCUCUUUCUCCAAUUUUCAUAUCUAUCCUUUUCUCUCCAAAGACAAACCUACCACCAAGAACAAUUGUCUUUUCACUAUCUCUUCCUUUUACUUUCUUCAUAUCUAGCUUUUUUCUGGUUUUGUAGAUCUUAAUGGCUAGACCCUUUGAACUAAAGACCCUUUGUUUUCUCUCUCCCAAAGCUUCUCAUGAUGCUUCUUCUUACUUUUUUCCUUCUUCCUCUUUUACUUUGUAUUUUGUUCAGCUUCUUUCUUCUUCCUCUUCACUUUUUUUCUCUUUCUGCUUUUGGGCAAGUGAUGUAGAUCUCAAAGCAAAGAAUCAUCAUAUGACAUAAAUCUAUAAUCCUGUUUACAAAAUGUUGUUUCGAUUUCAAGCAAAAAUUAUGGCGAUUUGCUUUUGGGCUGUCGAUUCGAUUUCAAGCGAAGAAGAUGGAGAUCUGUUUGUGGGUUAUGGUUUAGUUUCAAGCGAAGAUUUGAUGGCGAUGGAUCUGACUUUUUGGCGAUUUCACGGUGGUGUGCGAUUUGGCUGGUAUAUCUGUUUGUAAUGAUGGUGAUGUAAAAAUAGUUGGGAAUAAUUUUAAUGAGAUUGUCUUGGAUGAAUCAAAAGAUGUUCUCCUUGAGGUUCAUUUGUGAAGAAACUAAGUGGUACGGGAAAGACGAUUCUGAUUUGCACCAGCCUGAAUCUCAAUAAUUUUGGAGUCGGGUUGUGUUGAAUGGGUAGUUGAAUUUGAGCCUUCAGUAUUCGUAGAUUGUGAGCAGUGUGGGAUAUAAUAAGAUUUGCAGUUCUGCAUUGUACCUUUAUUUAGUUCUCUGUAGAUAUGUUUUGGUUGUUGUCUGAUGUAGAAAACAGGCUGAGGCGGCAUUAUAUGAAGCUGGGUCUGAUGUUGUCUUUUGGUUGUUGAUUUCUAAUUUUUGGUUCCGUCGAUAUCUGUAUUGAACAGCUCUUUAUAGCUUGAAGAUCACAAACGGCUAUUGCUCCACUCAAGCGAAUGAAAAUUUUGCUACAGGUUAGUUUGUUUGUGAAUGAAUCUCUAAACCACCAGAAGCCCAAAUAUGUUCCUGCAUCAAAUAAUAUGCAAUGAUAAGGCAUACUACCACCCUAACUGCCUUGCUUUUAAAGGUGUUUGCAAGUAGAUCAGGAGCAACAACAUUAAGAAGAAUGAAAGCAGCAGGCAGUUCUAGCCAAUCUGCGAUAUUAGAAAUUAUUCCGGGGAAAGUGUUUUGUGGUUUUCUUUCUUUUCUCAUUAUUUCAUCAGUGGUAGUUAUGUUGUGGGAUGCAUAAUUGGAGGAUGACUUAUAUUUGGAUCCGGUAAUUGGUAGUGGAGUGUUGUAUCUGUUUUUCGGCGUAGUUGCGAAUUGGAUUUGAAGUCUGUUUUUUGUUUUGUUUCAGUAUGUGUGUUAACAGGUUGGUAUGAUCUUUGUUUUUGUUUUGUUUUGUUUUAUAUUGGUUUGACCACUCUCUGCAUGAUGCAUGAGAUAAAUGCAGUAGAUGGGUGGCUCAUUUCAAGUGAAAAAUUGGCAAAUGAGGAUAAAUUGGCUAACAGCAAACAAGUUCUUCAUAUCUCUCCUCUAAUUGAUAAAUAAAUUAGUUUCAAAUUUAACAUUUGAACAGGAAUUUAAAUUUGUUUCAUUGUUCCAGAUUAGUGUCAAAUGAGGAUAUAUCACAGCGUUAUGAGUUAUGAGUUGCAGCUUCCACUGAUAAUUUAUUUGUGUGCAUUAUUGUGUUUUAAGACACAGCUUAGUCUUACGAUUAUUAGUGUU